AGAGUUUGAUCCUGGCUCAGGACGAACGCUGGCGGCGUGCCUAAUACAUGCAAGUCGAACGGUCUUUUCUAUGGAAGCUUGCUUCCACUGAGAAGAUAGUGGCGAACGGGUGAGUAACACGUGGGUAACCUGCCCAUAAGAGGGGGAUAACAUCCGGAAACGGGUGCUAAUACCGCAUAGUUUUCUUGAUCGCAUGAUCGAGAAAGGAAAGACGGCCUUUGUGCUGUCGCUUAUGGAUGGACCCGCGGCGUAUUAGUUAGUUGGUGAGGUAAUGGCUCACCAAGACGAUGAUACGUAGCCGACCUGAGAGGGUGAUCGGCCACAUUGGGACUGAGACACGGCCCAAACUCCUACGGGGAGGCAGCAGUAGGGAAUCUUCCGCAAUGGACGAAAGUCUGACGGAGCAACGCCGCGUGAGUGAAGAAAGUUUUCGGAUCGUAAAA
RNAcentral lists this ribosomal RNA (443 nucleotides) under uncultured Bacteroides sp. RNAcentral describes it as "bacterial SSU rRNA". It matches the Rfam family "Bacterial small subunit ribosomal RNA", at positions 8 to 430 of the family's 1533-position model. The record is from RNAcentral. Lineage: Bacteria; Pseudomonadati; Bacteroidota; Bacteroidia; Bacteroidales; Bacteroidaceae.